AUUGAACGCUGGCGGCGUGCUUAACACAUGCAAGUCGAGCGAGAAAGCUUUCUUCGGAAAGUGAGUAGAGCGGCGCACGGGUGAGUAACGCGUGGAUAAUCUACCCUGAAGAUCGGGAUAACAGUUGGAAACGACUGCUAAUACCGGAUGUCCUGCAUAUUUAACUUUAUGUGGAAAAGGUGGCCUCUAUUUAUAAGCUACCGCUUUUGGAUGAGUCCGCGUCUCAUUAGCUUGUUGGUGGGGUAAUGGCCUACCAAGGCAACGAUGAGUAGCUGGUCUGAGAGGAUGAUCAGCCACACUGGGACUGAAACACGGCCCAGACUCCUACGGGAGGCAGCAGUGGGGAAUAUUGCGCAAUGGGGGAAACCCUGACGCAGCGACGCCGCGUGUAGGAAGAAGGCCUUCGGGUCGUAAACUACUGUCAAGAGGGAAGAAACUGUUUGAUCAUAAUACGGUCAUUCACUGACGGUACCUCUAGAGGAAGCACCGGCUAACUCCGUG
Molecule: ribosomal RNA, 501 nt
Filed under: uncultured organism
Description: bacterial SSU rRNA
Rfam family: Bacterial small subunit ribosomal RNA
Source: RNAcentral